CUGGAGUGCAUGCUGGUCCCAUCACUGGGAAUCCAGGAAACCCCAGGUCCAGGGAAGGGCAGUUUGCUUCCGGCUUCUCAUGCCCAGGCCUAGCUCAUUUCACUCUGCAAACACGUUCAUGCUUUCAUUCUGCGGAAGUCUAUGAGGUAUCGCCCAAGAGGCCUCAGAACCAGCAGGCCUGUGUUCUAGAACCGCCAAGCAUUGCUGGCUGUGCGGCUCGAGGUGGGUCACUUCAUUCUCGGUACAGAUAGCACAACCUGCCUCGGGGUUCUGGGGCUGCAUGAGGCUUGGAGGACACAGGGGUACCCAUGGCGCCUCCCGGGUCCUCAUGGGACCUUGCUGCCUGCCCUGAGUUCAUCUGUCCCUAGCCCACCCCUCCCAGCCCAGCCUCACUGGUUCCCUUGGGUGGGCCCAGCUGCAGCCCACCUCAGGACCCUUGUCUGGUCAUGCCCUCUGCUGGGAGUGCCCUUCCCACUGUCCCUUCUCUUUCCUUGCUUCUCCGGAGGCUGCCCCAACCCCUUCCUGAGAGGGUCCCCUCCCAUACUGCACCCUGAUGCCAGCACCCCCUUUCCUUCUCCUGGAGCCAUCCCCUACAGCAAUCCGGGAGUAGCAACGACAUUGCCCUAAACCUGAGACCACGGCUCAGCCUAAGUCAGUGUCCCACAGAUUCUUGAAUACAUGAAUAAUUAGUGAGUCCCUGCUGGGUGCCGGCCCCAGGAACAGGAAGCAGGAUUUUGUAUAUCCUAAGACCAGGAGCUCAGUAAGCAGGGUGCUGGGUUGGGAGGUGGGGAGGGUGGAGCUGAAGUUCAAUCUUCUAGCAAGCACGACAACGUGAGGGCAAUUGAGAACCCCCCCCCACCUUACAUUUGAGACUGAGGGCGCACAUGAGUUCAUGCAGCGAGGCCAGGAGUCGAGCCCCAAUCAUUGGGCCUCUGUGUCCUCUGCAUGGGCCCCUGCCUGCGGGCUACCCUGGAACUGGGGCAUUGGAAUGCCGGCUCAGGCAAUGUCUGCGUAUAACCCCAUGGCUCUGGGGUUCUGGGGCCCUCAGGUACCCAUUUGUGGCCGGGUGGCUGCCAUGCUGCUGAUGGGACAGAUGGGAGGGUGCUCUGAUGGCCUGGCACAAUGAAACACAGGGGACUCCUGAUGGAUUUCCCAGCAUUUCCUUGUAAGGUCUUGGACUGUGGAUUAUGGAGAGCAUCCUCUCCUUCCGCUGCCCCAGGCUGAGUCAGGAGCCUCAUGGCAGGAGCAGUCAACAACCAUCGGAGCUUCCCUCUGGGCAGGGGUACCUCCUCUACCUGAACCAACAGCACUUUACCAAACGGGGUGAUCAGCACCAAAGACCCGAAGCCCAGGCCCAUCUGCAGCCUCAUCCACGCUGGCUGCUCACCUCCACGGUUUGGUCUCGGUUCCGCAUCCCGCUGGGACAUUCCUUGGCCGUGCCCUUGACACAGCGGCACGGGCUCGGAUCAGGCCAACGGAGCGCUCAGGCUUCCUCUUUGCGCUCCCCGUGCGGUCGCCGGGGCAAACACAGAGGGUGGGCCGGGAGGGCUAACGGAUGCAUGAAUGAGAGGAGCAGGGGACGAGGUCGCCGCCUGCGGGAGGUGGGGCCACGGGAAAAGCACCGACGGGGGAGACCGCGCGGCGGAGGGCGGCGCGCUGUCCCGUCCCGCGUGGGACCUCACUGUGCGGAGCCAGCCGCCUGGCCACGGGCUUGCGCUCGUGGCUCACGCCACCCCGUGAACAGUGCCCGGCCGCCGGGGCGGGACUGCGUCCACGGUCCCCCUCUCGCAGGGGGCCCAGGGUGACAGCUUCCGGGC
Molecule: long non-coding RNA, 1817 nt
Organism: Mustela erminea (ermine)
Lineage: Eukaryota; Metazoa; Chordata; Mammalia; Carnivora; Mustelidae
Exons: 3
Source: RefSeq, a predicted model, not a curated record